RNAcentral lists this ribosomal RNA (465 nucleotides) under Vreelandella stevensii. RNAcentral's name for it is "partial 16S ribosomal RNA". It matches the Rfam family "Bacterial small subunit ribosomal RNA", at positions 338 to 795 of the family's 1533-position model. Lineage: Bacteria; Pseudomonadati; Pseudomonadota; Gammaproteobacteria; Oceanospirillales; Halomonadaceae. The record is from RNAcentral.
CCUACGGGUGGCUGCAGUGGGGAAUAUUGGACAAUGGGCGAAAGCCUGAUCCAGCCAUGCCGCGUGUGUGAAGAAGGCCUUCGGGUUGUAAAGCACUUUCAGUGGGGAAGAAAGCCUUGGGGCUAAUACCCUCGAGGAAGGACAUCACCCACAGAAGAAGCACCGGCUAACUCAGUGCCAGCAGCCGCGGUAGUACGGAGGGUGCGAGCGUUAAUCGGAAUUACUGGGCGUAAAGCGCGCGUAGGCGGUCUGAUAAGCCGGUUGUGAAAGCCCCGGGCUCAACCUGGGAACGGCAUCCGGAACUGUCAGGCUAGAGUGCAGGAGAGGAAGGUAGAAUUCCCGGUGUAGCGGUGAAAUGCGUAGAGAUCGGGAGGAAUACCAGUGGCGAAGGCGGCCUUCUGGACUGACACUGACGCUGAGGUGCGAAAGCGUGGGUAGCAAACAGGAUUAGAUACCCCAGUAGUC